ACCUCUCCUCUAUAAAGAAGCCCUUCCUUCUGACUGAACUCACUGCAGCAGGACCUUCACUUGUAACACAGAAGAAAACUAAAGAAGUGGACAGCAUCCAUCAGACAUCUCUCUCCAACAAAUAAGAUGGCUGGUCUGUGCUGGAUGGCGGUGAUGCUGGCCUUCGUUCUGUCUGUUGGAAACAGUGUGGAUGCUGUGACCCCGGAGAUCCUUGCUAGAUUUGUAGAUCGCAUCUUAGGAAAGUACGGAACUGAUGGCAUGUUCAGUUUGGCUGUAAUGAUCCCACAGAACCAGAACCAGAACCAGGACCAGAACUUUCAGCAAGUCUUUAAAACUGAUCUUGGUAACAAAGUGAGGAAUAUGAUGAACAAAAACCAGGUGUACAUCGGCAACAGGGUGGUUGCAGCCAAAUUUCUGAAAGGAGCUGAUCAUGCAGAGUUACGUGUUUUGGCCAAUAUGCAAGGCUUGCUCGACCAUCAUAAUGCUGAAGAUAAUUUUUUGCUUUUCUAUGUUUAUG
This is a long non-coding RNA of Micropterus salmoides (largemouth bass), 517 nucleotides long. RefSeq lists it as uncharacterized. The transcript is spliced from 3 exons. The record is from RefSeq and is a predicted model, not a curated record. Lineage: Eukaryota; Metazoa; Chordata; Actinopteri; Centrarchiformes; Centrarchidae.